This is an RNA transcript of Marmota monax (woodchuck), 2165 nucleotides long. It is a transcript of the gene named CD19 molecule, with no coding region annotated. The record is from RefSeq and is a predicted model, not a curated record. The transcript is spliced from 15 exons. NCBI's taxonomy places the organism in Eukaryota, Metazoa, Chordata, Mammalia, Rodentia, Sciuridae.
GGCUUAGGAGCUUGUGGGAGAAUUAGAACCAGGAGAGGAACAAACAAGGGCAUUUCUCAAGGUGGUGAGUGCCACAAUGAACACAGAGCUGCAGCAGGAAGAGGGCGAGCUUCACAGGUUGGAGGGCCCGGGCCUGCCCCAGCAUCCCCUGCGCGGGGAAGCUGGGUGCUCGGAGGAGCCAGGCCACCAUGCCACCUCCUCUGCUCCUGUCCUUCCUCCUCUUUCUUACCCCUGUGGGAGUCAGGCCCCAGAAGCCACUGCUGGUGGAGGUGGAAGAGGGAAAAGACAUCCUGCUGCCGUGCCUCCAGGAUUAUGCUCCCUCCGAGCAGCUGGCCUGGUCUCGGGGGAACCGGUCGGCACCCUUCUUAGAGCUGAGCCUGGGCUUACCAAACCUGGGCAUCCGUGUGGGGCACCUGGGCACCCUGCUGCUCGUCUUCAACGUCUCUCACCAGAUGGGGGGCUUCUACUUGUGCCAGUCGGGGCCCCCUUCCAAGGACACCUGGCGGCCUGGCUGGACAGGGAGUUGUUCCGUUGGAAUGCUUCAGACUUAGAGGCCCUAAACUGUAGCCGGGGGAACAUGUCCUCCGGGGGCACUGGGCUCUCUUCUGAUCGCCCCAUCACCUCCCAACUCUAUGUGUGGGCUAAGGACCACCCUAAGAUCUGGAAUACAGAGCCGGUGUGUGCCCCACCAAGGGGGAGUCUGAAACAGAGCUUCAGCCAAGAUCUCACUGUGGCCCCUAAUUCCACAAUCUGGCUGUCCUGUGGGGUGGCCCCUACCCCUGUGGUCAGUGGCCCCCUCUCCUGGAUCUUCAGGCACCCUGUUAAGUCUCACAUCUCAUUGCUGAACUUAAGCCUGAGCAAGAAGGCCCCAUCCAGAGACAUGUGGGUCCUGGGGUCUCUUCUGUCGCUGCCCCAGGCCACAACUCAAGAUGCUGGUACCUAUUAUUGUCUCCGUGGCAACCUGACCAUCGAGAUACACGUGAAGGUCACUGCCCGGCCAGCAGUUUGGCACUGGCUGCUGGAGACUGGUGGCUGGAAAGUCCCCCUUGUAACUUUGGUUUAUCUGAUCUUCUGCCUGGGUUCCCUGGUGGCCUUUCUUCAUCUUCGAAGAGCCCUGAUCCAGAGGAGGUUAAGGAAGCGGAUGAUUGACCCCACCAGGAGGUUCUUCAAAGUGACGCCUCCUCAGGGAAACGGGACCCAGAACCAGUAUGGAAACGUGCUAUCCCUUCCCACGCCCACCUCUGGCCCGGGACGUACCAAGCGCUGGGCGGCAGGCAUGGGAAGCGCCUCCCUGUCCUACGGAAACCCGCGCCGCGACGCCCAGGAGGCUGGCACCCCAGAAGCAGGACUAGAAGAAGAAGGGGAGGGCUAUGAGGAGCCGGACAGCGAGGAGGGGUCCGAGUUCUACGAGAACGACUCCAACCUUGGGCGGGACCAGCUUUCCCAGGAUGGCAGUGGCUAUGAGAACCCUGAGGAUGGGUCCCUGGGUCCUGAGGAUGCAGACUCCUUCUCCAACGCUGAGUCUUACGAGAACGAGGAUGGAGAGCUGGCCCCACCAGUCACCAAGACAAUGGACUUCCUGAGCCCCCAUGGGUCUGCCAGGGACCCCAGCCGGGAAGCAACCUCCCUUGGGUCCCAGUCCUAUGAAGAUAUGAGAGGGAUCCUGUAUGCAGCCCCCCAGCUCCGCCCCCUUCAGACUGGUCCCAAUCAUGAGGAAGGUACGGGCUUCUGCACUGUCCCUGGGUGUCCUCUGGCGGAUUCCCUUCCUAGCCUACUUCCACCCCCACCUGCGUUUUGCUUUCUUCUGGUCCUUCGCAGACGCAGACUCUUAUGAGAACAUGGAUAAUCCCGACGAUCCAGAACCAGCAUGGGGAGGAGGAGGGCGCAUGGGAGCCUGGAGUACCAGGUGACCCCCAGGUGACCAGCUUGCGUGUCCUUAGGCCCCAACACCUGCCUACUCCUGACUUGGAAAUCUGGGGACUCCCAGCAGACGGUGUCAAACCCUGGAGUGAAGUUGCUUGGGAUGUUUGUGUGUGUGUGUUUGUGUGUGUGUGUACGCACUUGUGUGUACAUGCAUGUACGCAUGUGUGUGUGUUUUUGUGUAUGUACAACUGAAUCUUCCAACCCCUUUUGCUUUCCCCAAAUAAACUCAAUGAUCUCUUCCA